Molecule: ribosomal RNA, 406 nt
Filed under: uncultured bacterium
Lineage: Bacteria
Description: partial 16S ribosomal RNA
Rfam family: Bacterial small subunit ribosomal RNA
Source: RNAcentral
AUUGAACGCUGGCGGCAGGCCUAACACAUGCAAGUCGAACGAGUGGCGGACGGGUGAGUAAUGUCUGGGAAACUGCCCGAUGGAGGGGGAUAACUACUGGAAACGGUAGCUAAUACCGCAUACCAUCGGAUUCGCCCAGAUGGGAUUAGCUAGGAGGUGGGGUAACGGCUCACCUAGGCGACGAUCCCUAGAUGGUCGGAGAGGAUGACCAGCCACACUGGAACUGAGACACGGUCCAGAUUCUUAGGGGAGGAAGCAGUGGGGAAAAUUGCACAAUGGGCGCAAGCCGGAUGCAGCAAUGCCGCGUGUAUGAAGAAGGCCUUCGGGUUGUAAAGUACUUUCAGCGAGGAGGCGUUACUCGCAGAAGAAGCACCGGCUAACUCCGUGCCAGCAGCCGCGGUAAUUC